Molecule: ribosomal RNA, 175 nt
Filed under: Giardia duodenalis
Lineage: Eukaryota; Fornicata; Diplomonadida; Hexamitidae
Description: Giardia intestinalis partial small subunit ribosomal RNA
Source: RNAcentral
CCGGAUGAUGCCCCGGAAGCCCGGGCGGGCCGUCUCUGCGUCACGCUGCUCGCCCGCGGGCGCCCGCCCUUGCGCGCACGUCUUGGCGCCGGGUUGCCAGCGGUGUCCGGCUAGCAGGGACCGCCGCGGGGGGUGCAACCAUUUCCUGAGCCGUCCGCCCCCUCCCGGGUGCGCG